Molecule: long non-coding RNA, 7900 nt
Filed under: Lactuca sativa (garden lettuce)
Lineage: Eukaryota; Viridiplantae; Streptophyta; Magnoliopsida; Asterales; Asteraceae
Description: long non-coding RNA (LSAT_LNC008605)
Source: RNAcentral
CGAGAUCAAAGAAUGUGUGCUCACUACAUGGGAUUGUGAGGCCACCCAUUGGAUGGUCAUAUCCAUACUCUUCCUCUGCCUGAUGUAAUAAGUCUUGAAAUGAAGGUUGGCUUAACAGUGACACAGGAACCACGAAGCGCUUCUUUUCUUGUUCUUGCUCCCCAAUAUAAACUGCAAAAUAGCCUUUUGGUAGAUCCAUUGUUGAUGUGCGAGUUCCAUUUGAAAAAGACCUUUGGAGAAUUUGUUUUGCUUGAAGGAUCCGAGGCAUACGAAUACCCAUUUUUAUGAAGGUUGCUGAAGGAAGUAAAAGAUGCUGCAGAGGAGUUAUAGAGGAAAGUGUGCUGGUGCGUUGCCUAUCAUAUGCUUUAUAUAAUGGUUUAUUGAAGCUUCAAAUUAAUGUACAGUAGUUGAUAAGAAAGCAAUUUAAUUACAGAUAGGGACGUUCUGACAGAAUGGCAAUAUCAUGUGCUCUGUUUCUCAACAUGCAAGAAAGUAUGAUCUUACAUAUCACAACCAUAUAUUCAGAGAUAAAAUAAUGGAUUAAACUUGUAUUUGUAUACCCAAAAGAAUUAAUCAUGGAGGAAAACAUGUAUCGCCAGUAUUCUCUAGAGCAGGUAAGCGGUGAAGAACUCUACAAACAUCAUGAGCCCAUGUGAUGUUAAUGGGAGUGUGGCUCUGUUUCCUAACAAACCCAUAGUUCUGGCUAAAAUCACUGGGAUUUUCUUACAACAGGUGUGGCCUAUGAUGUAUUAUGUAUAUGCAUAUAAUUCAUCGCAUUGAUUAGGAAACCUUUCUAUAGGCAUCAUCACAUGUUUUUUUUAUUUGGAUGGACCAACCAAUCCUUGAAAUUUCUGUGAUCCUAUAUUGGCCUUUAGAUUCAUAAUUUAAUUAUGUAUUUUUUUCCUUUUUACGACACGAAAGACAAAGGCAUGUGGUAUUGAUCCCAUUUCCACCAUAUGUCACCAUCCUUCAACUAAUUUUCCAUAUAUCAUAUGGAUAUAUAAACCAUUCAAGAUGAAUAACACAACCUCAGAUUCACAGCUUUUCCCCAAGAAGUCGUGCUUUGAGAAUUUUCAUUCACCGUAAGCGUUUUAAAGUUAACAGACAAUACAUCCUUAUAAAAUGGCCAUCCUUAUGCCCCACAUCACUCAAGCAAAGGAAAUUCUUAAACGGUCGUUCUCAAAUGGAAGUAGCACAACAAAAUCUAUGGAUAUCCCAAAAGGCUGUUUAGCGGUUUAUGUUGGUGAGCAAGAGAAGAAGAGAUUUGUAGUUCCCGUAUGGUUGUUAAUGGAACCUACUUUUCAACAACUGCUAGAUCAGGCUGAGGAAGAAUUUGGCUAUAGUCAUCCAAUGGGCGGCCUAACUAUUCCAUGUAGUGAAUAUAUGUUCAUGGAUUUAGCUUCUCGUUUGGGCACAUUAUGACUUGUAUACAGCAUUCUUAGUUAUCAUGAGUAGUUAAAUGACCAGUAGAAUUUUCUUUUAUCAUUUGUAAUCAGAGCCGAUUGUCCCAUUAUUGUAAGAAACUUGAACCAGAACUAUUUAGAGUUUAUUGGAUUUUGUUUAGCGUUAUGAGAUAAGUAAAGAAACUGAUGGAAGCCAACUCUAUAUUUUCUUAUUAUUAUCGCAGGUUUACAAUAUGUUUAUAAAAUAGAAGAAAACUAACAAACUAGCUAAACAAAAGGAUAAACCAGAUAAACUAUCUGAUAGGAUAAGAAUCAAAAUAAAUCAAAUAAAUCCUUUACUCCCCCUCAAGAUGAGAAUGUAGGUUCCGAAUGUUCAUCUUGACACACAUGGAUUGUAGCCUAUCCGAACCAAGUGGCUUUGUAAGAAGAUCAGCAAGUUGAUCACGAGUGUGAAUCCAGAUGGGAGCUAUUUCUUCAGACUCUACUCUUUCACGAACAAAAAAGCAGUCCAUCUCCAUGUGCUUCGUUCUCUCGUAAAAAACAGGAUUGUGGGCGAUGUGACGAGAUGAUUGAUUGUCAUAGAGAAGUGGAAUAGCUGUAGUGAUUUUCACACCAAGUUCUGACAACAACCAUCGAACCCAUAGAAUUUCGCUGACGGUAGUGGCCAUCGCACGCUAUUUCGCCUCUGCUAAAGACCGGGAGACGACUGAUUGCUUUUUGGACUUCCAAGAAACAGGAGCCCCACCCAAAAGCAACAAAUAACGAGUUCUAGAACGGCGUGAAUACGGACAUCCAAGCCAAUCGGAAUCACUGUAUGCCACCAAAUCUGGUGACCCAUCUUUGGGUAGGAGGAUCCCUUGUCCCAAGCUUGUUUUGAGGUAUCGUAAAACACGCAUUGCUGCUCGCCAAUGAUUUGCUCGAGGAUCCGAAACAAAUUGGCUGAGAUCAUUCACUGAAUAAGUGAUGUCAGGACGAGUGGCUUGCAAAUAAAGUAGGCGACCUAUGAGACGCCGAUACAUGUUGACAUCUAUGAUCUCUUCGUUAUCCCCUUUAUCGAGCUUGAGAUUCUGUUCCAUGGGAAAUUUACUCGGUUUACACCCAAGCAUGCCCGUGUCUGCUAAGAUAUCCAUAGUAUAUUUUCGUUGGCUCAUAACUAAUCCUUCUUUUGUACGAGACACCUCAAUCCCCAAAAAAUAUGACAGACUACCAAGAUCUUUGAUACUAAAUCUAGCAUCAAGAUUAGAUUUGGUAUCUUCAAUUUUAGAGGUGUCAUUACCAACAAUAAUGACAUCAUCCACAUAAAUGAGCACAGCAACAAAACUGGUCUUGUCUGUGUAAAUAAAGAGAGAAUGAUCUGCAUGGGAGGACUUGAAUCCCAUGUCACAUAGGGUUGCUGUGAACUUGUGGUACCAAUUUCGGCUUGCUUGUUUUAACCCAUACAUCGAUUUCUUGAGUUUGCACACUCGUGAAUCACCUUCCUUACCAAAUCCUUGAGGCAUCUUCAUGUAAACGUCUUCCUCGAGGUCACCAUGUAAAAAGGCGUUAUUCACAUCUAAUUGGUGAAUUAUCCAGUUGUUCUUCACAACUAGAGUUAAUAAAAUUCGUACAAUGACCAACUUCAACCGGAGCAAAUGUGUCGUGAAAGUCGACCCCUUCCAUUUGUGUGUAUCCUUUAGCGACAAGACGAGCCUUGUAUCUUUCUAUGGCUCCGUCGGGCUUAAAUUUUAUUUUAUAAAUCCACUUUGAUUCUAUGGCUCGUUUUCCUUCUGGUAGAAUUAUAAGAUCCCAAGUAUCAUUAUCUUCCAAGGCCUUGAUCUCCUUCUUCAUGACAUCACACCAUUUUGGAUCAUGAGCUGCAUGCUUAAAACUUCUAGGCACAUCGUGAGUGACAAUAGCAGCCAAAAAAGCUUUAUGAGAACUUGAAAUUUUUUUAUAAGAAAUAUAAUUGGAAAAGGGGUGUACCGUGGAAGCAACAUGGUUGGCAGCGGGUGAUGCAUGGUCAAUCGAUGGGGUUAAAUUAACCUCGUAAUCUUGAAACCUCACCGGUUGAGCCUUUGAUCUGAUGGGCCUGGUGUUGUCCGAAGAAAGAGGCUCAUUAAUACCGAAAUCUGGGCUGGGAUAUUGGGCCUGUUGCACAGUGGAAUGAUGGUUCGUUGGACUUGAAUCGUGAGCUUGGUGCACAGCAGAUUCAUGGUGGGUUUCGCUAUCAUUGGUUUUGGUGUCAAUGCAAAAAGACGCAUUGGCUUUAGGGCUGUGUUGCAUGAUUUCCUCAUCAUCUUCUAGCUGAAAAAUAUCAUCUGGUUUCGAGUUGUCAUGUUCCUUUGCUGCAUUCAUAGGGAAUUGAUUUUCAACAAAUCGUACAUCCCUAGAGACUAUGAUCCUUUUGCUUUCCAGAUCAAAAAUCUUAUACCCCUUUGUAUCCUUUGGAUAGCCAACAAAGAUCCCCGACCUUCCACGUGGUUCAAACUUAUCUCCCCCUGUCUCAGUACUGCGAUGGUAGGUUAGGCAGCCAAAAACUCGCAGGUGUUCAUAGGAAGGCUUUCUUCCAAAAAGAACUUCAUACGGCGAAGCUCCUUGUAACACCUUCGAGGGCAUUCGAUUUAUGACAUACGUCACAGUCAACACGCAUUCUCCGCAAAAGGUUUUAGGAAGAUUAGCUUGGAAGCGAAGAGCCCUAGCUGUUUCUAGUAAAUGUCGGUGUUUAUGCUCAACCACCCCGUUUUGUUGUGGGGUAUAUGGACAGGAAGUUACUAAAAGAAUGCCUUUCUUUGCAUAAAAAUCAUGCAUAACAUUGGACACAAAUUCACCUCCAUUGUCGCAUCGUAUCCGCUUUAUGUGUUUUCCAAAUUGGGUUUUGAUCAUUUUGUAAAAUUCUUUAAGACGUGCUUACUUCACUUUUGUGUUUUAGCAAGAAAGUCCAAACUGCUCUACUAAAAUCGUCUACGACAGUCAAAAAAUAAAAGGCCUUACUCGUUGAAGGAGUUCUAUGUCUCCCCAUACGUCACAAUGCACCAAGUCAAAACAAGCAUUUGUUUUAAUUUCACUAAUAAGAAACGGUAGUGUGUUUAGCCUUAAAACAAGCAUCACAAUUUAAAUCAUUCUUACAAGAUGGAACAAAAUCUAAGCGUGAAACUUUCUUCGGUGAAGGGUGCCCGAGUCUUUUGUGCCAGGUCUCGAAGGUGGUCAAGAGUGCUUUAUUAGUCUUCACUACCCCCAUGCGAUACAAACCUUCUAUGCGGUUACCUGCUCCAAUCAAGCGCUUCGUCCCCAAUUCCUGCAUGACAAAGAAACCCGGGAAGAAAGUUACAACACAAUUAAGUUCAUCAGCUAGCUUCCCAACAGAAAGUAAAUUAUAAUUAAAAUUUGGCACUAAUAAAACUCCUUUGAUUUUGAUUCCUCCUGGAAGUAUAUGAUCACCUUCACCCAAAACAGGAAUUUUGUCUCCAUUUGGAAUGAUAACAGGCGUUCCCUUUGGGCUUUGGGUUUUGUUAUUAAGGAAAUCACUCCUAUGAAUCAUGUGUUCGGUGGCCCCUGUGUCCACCACCCAACCAUCAUACGUAUCAAUCCUACCUGCCAUGUUAGCUCUUGGUUGAGAUUCAGUUUUAGUUAUGCUUCCGCUUUCCUUGAAGUGCUUGACAAAGAGUUGAUAUUGUUCAUCUGUCAACCCCGAAAUUGGGCUAGGUAUUGCUUCAACGCAGGCGGCUUUUGGCACUCCUUUGUCUCGAUUACCACGCCACCACUCAGGGUAUCCUAUCAGCUUGAAACACCCUUCCUUCACAUGACCUUCUCUUUGACAAAAACUGCAUUUUUCUUUCUUUUCAUUAUCGGUUAUUGUUGGUUUUGGAGUCGCCUUGUUGAUUGCCUGCGUAUUCUAUUUCCACUGUGAUUGUCGCUGAACUUUUGUCUCACCAUAGUUGGCCUGAAAAGCUAAAGCUUCUGACCCCAGUCUCUUUGUUCCACCUAUGAUCACUCUCUGUUGUUCAUCUUCUGCCACUAAGUGUUAAGUGGCUGCAAGCGAUGGUGUUUGUUUCAUGGCUAAGACCUGAGUUCGAAUGACAGAAAACUCGUCAUCAAGUCCCAUGAGGAAUUCAUAAGUCCUCUCUUUCUCCUUUACUUCAUUCAAUUGUUUCCCAAUGGCACACUCGCACCGUGGCAAGGGUAGGACAACUUGAAUUUCAUCCCAAAGAGACCUUAGCUUCGUAUAGUAAUUGGAAACUGACAUACCUCCCUGUCGUGUUACGUUGAUUAACUGUUUUAACUCAUAAGCCCUCGGUGCUCCUUCCUUUUCAAAUCGCUCCCCUAGGUCCUUCCAGAUUUCAGAAGAGGUAUUGGCAUAUCUUACGUUGGUGCGAAUCUCCUUUUCCAUUGCAGUCGUUAGCCAACCCUUGACCAUGGCAUCGGCUCGAACCCAAGCCGUGUGUGUUUGAGAUUCGUUCUCUGGUUUCUUGAUGGUGUCGUCGAUUAGUCUCAUCUUGUUUUUCGCAAGGAGAAAGUUGGUCAUCUCCUGCUUCCACUCGUUGUAAUUGUUAUCAUUCAGCAUGUCAUUCACUUGCAUCUGCUUUGGAUAAUCAGAUGGGUGAAUGUAGAAUGGCGAAUUGGCAUCAAUGGUCUCCCCUUCUGGUUUCUUGCUUGUAUCACCUUUUUCUCCUGUCAUGGCUGCUGAGCGAUUUUGCUAUCCGGAGUGGAUAACCCGCUCUGAUACCAUAAAGAAACUGAUGGAAGCCAACUCUAUAUUUUCUUAUUAUUAUCGCAGGUUUACAAUACGUUUAUAAAAUAGAAGAAAACUAACAAACUAGCUAAACAAAAGGAUAAACCAGAUAAACUAUCUGAUAGGAUAAGAAUCAAAAUAAAUCAAAUAAAUCCUUUAAUAAGAAAUGCAGAAAACUGCAUCAUCCACUAUUCUGGCUACAAUAAUUUCUCAUACCUAGAUGUGCAUCUCUAAGAAGAUAAAAUCACGUCACAUCAGUUUCUUUUUUAAAAAACUGGUAUGCAAAAGGAUAAAAUGAAUUAAGAAAAGUCUAUAUGAGAACGGAUCAUGAGCUUGGUCGUGAUCGAUGUUCCUGCAUGUAAUAAAUUUAUAUUUUUGUAUUCAAAGGGCAUACCAUAUAGAUACACAUAUCAUGAAACAAAUCUAAAAAAGAACGCUGAGCAUAAAAACUAAUACAUAUAAUAGUAGAUGAGAAUGGGACUUUAGAUUACACAUAUCUUGAAAUAACUCCAAAAAAGUAUGUUGACGCCUAUGGAGCUCUUACAUUUGUAACUUGAUUUUCAUUGGAAGAGAACUAGAGGACCUGCUACAAUUUGAUAGAUAUCACUCGAGGAAUGCAAACUUAUUUAAUACAAAUAUGCAAGAGUUUCUUACAGAUUAUACUGGAAAUAGGCUAUAUAGGCAACCUGAAUGAAUCCGAUGAAGGGUUAUGGCUUGCAUUAAUCAUAUAUAAUUAAAGAGCCACAUACACAAUAUUUAUUUUUAAGAUCUCCACUUUUUUUUAUAGAUAGACCUUUAAUUCAUAUGAAGAUGGUCGAAUCCCUAUAGGUGUGUAUAUCUCCACACAUCUCCUCCUAACCCCUCGCGUAAAGCCUAAUCUAUAGUGAUAAAUGGGAAGUUUGGAGUAAUGUGGCAACAAAUAUUGAUUAAUUGUAGCCCCCCACAUGGAGUUUUUUUGCUUACAUGAUAGUUUAAUUUGGCAAGAAGAUACUCCUAGUAUUCUUUAGUUAGGUGUUUGAUACUUCAAAUCUACUAUAAGAAAUUAAGGCCAUUUCCCCUUUCCGAGUAUUAGAUCUGGAGAAUGCUUCUUAAGACUUGUCUUACAGUUAAAGCUUAAGAUGAUUCUAUCUUAGGAAACCUAAGAGAAAAUAAGUAUAAGAUGCUUAUAGCAAUCUAGAGACAAUCUUCAAAUCAAGUUAAAACUGUUCUUGAGAAAACUAUUUACACUGAAUUUUGUUUGGCAUUCAAGUCUACAUUAUAUCAUUAAUCAAUACAUAGUGGAUUUGAAAGAUGUCCGAAUUUGAGUUUCAAAACAACCUGGAUAACUGAUGAGCGUCACAUGUUGCAAAAAGGUCAAUGAUCAGUGCUAAUAAAAAAACUGUUACAACUACUAAUGCAAUAACUUGAACUCAUAAUGCUCCCAGACGAGUUGCGAGAUCAAGGAAUGUGUGCUCACUACAUGGGAUUGUGAGUCCACCCAUUGGAUGGUCAUACCCAUACUCGUCUUCGGCUUGAAAUAAUAAGUCUUGAAAUGAAGGUUGGCUUAACAGUGACACCGGAACCACAAAGCGCUUCUUUUCUUGCUCCCCAAUAUAAACUGAAAAAUAGCCUUUUGAUAAAUCCAUUGUUGAUGUGCGAGUUCCAUUUGACAAAGACCUUUGAAGAAUUUGUUUUGCUUGAAUAAUCCGAAGCAUACGAAUACCCAUUUUUAUGAAGGUUACUGAAGGAAGUAAAUCAAUCUGAUUAUUUUCUUUGUUAAAAGAUGCUGAGAGGAGCUAUAGAGGAAAGU